CCUACGGGAGGCUGCAGUGGGGAAUAUUGCACAAUGGGGGAAACCCUGAUGCAGCGACGCCGCGUGAGUGAAGAUGUAUUUCGGUAUUUAAAGCUCUAUCAGCCGGGAAGAAGAAAGACGGUACCUGACUCAGAAGCCCCGGCUAACUACGUGCCAGCAGCCCCGGUAGUACGUAGGGGGCAAGCGUUAUCCGGAUUUACUGGGUUUAAAGGGAGCGUAGACGGCUGUGCAAGUCUGAAGUGAAAGCCCAGGGCUCAACCCUGGGACUGCUUUUGAAACUGUGGAGCUAGAGUGCUGGAGAGGUGAGUGGAAUUCCUAGUGUAGCGGUGAAAUGCGUAGAUAUUAGGAGGAACACCAGUGGCGAAGGCGGCUUACUGGACAGUAACUGACGUUGAGGCUCGAAAGCGUGGGGAGCAAACAGGAUUAGAUACCCCAGUAGUC
This 441-nucleotide ribosomal RNA is filed under the name uncultured bacterium. RNAcentral's name for it is "partial 16S ribosomal RNA". It matches the Rfam family "Bacterial small subunit ribosomal RNA", at positions 338 to 795 of the family's 1533-position model. The record is from RNAcentral.